RNAcentral lists this ribosomal RNA (496 nucleotides) under uncultured bacterium. RNAcentral describes it as "partial 16S ribosomal RNA". It matches the Rfam family "Bacterial small subunit ribosomal RNA", at positions 28 to 507 of the family's 1533-position model. The record is from RNAcentral.
GAUGAACGCUGGCGGCGUGCCUAAUACAUGCAAGUCGAGCGAACAGACGAGGAGCUUGCUCCUCUGACGUUAGCGGCGGACGGGUGAGUAACACGUGGAUAACCUACCUAUAAGACUGGGAUAACUUCGGGAAACCGGAGCUAAUACCGGAUAAUAUAUUGAACCGCAUGGUUCAAUAGUGAAAGACGGUUUUGCUUUCACUUAUAGAUGGAUCCGCGCCGCAUUAGCUAGUUGGUAGGUAACGGCUUACCAAGGCAACGAUGCGUAGCCGACCUGAGAGGGUGAUCGGCCACACUGGAACUGAGACACGGUCCAGACUCCUACGGGAGGCAGCAGUAGGGAAUCUUCCGCAAUGGGCGAAAGCCUGACGGAGCAACGCCGCGUGAGUGAUGAAGGUCUUCGGAUCGUAAAACUCUGUUAUUAGGGAAGAACAAAUGUGUAAGUAACUAUGCACGUCUUGACGGUACCUAAUCAGAAAGCCACGGCUAACUACGUG